GACGAACGCUGCCGGCGUGCUUAACACAUGCAAGUCGAACGGGCUGCCUGGUUUUCGGAUCGGGUGGUGAGUGGCGAACGGGUGAGUAACACGUGAGUAACCUGCCCCUCUCUUUGGGAUAACGUCGGGAAAUCGGCGCUAAUACCGGGUAUUCUGGCUUCCUCGCAUGGGGUUGUUGGGAAAGGUUUUUUCUGGUGGGGGAUGGGCUCGCGGCCUAUCAGCUUGUUGGUGGGGUGAUGGCCUACCAAGGCGGUGACGGGUAGCCGGCCUGAGAGGGUGUCCGGCCACACUGGGACUGAGACACGGCCCAGACUCCUACGGGAGGCAGCAGUGGGGAAUAUUGCACAAUGGGCGGAAGCCUGAUGCAGCGACGCCGCGUGGGGGAUGACGGCCUUCGGGUUGUAAACCUCUUUCAGUGCAGAACAAGGCUCUUUGUGGGUUGAGGGUAUGCGCAGAAGAAGCGCCGGCUAACUACGUG
This 478-nucleotide ribosomal RNA is filed under the name uncultured bacterium. RNAcentral describes it as "partial 16S ribosomal RNA". It matches the Rfam family "Bacterial small subunit ribosomal RNA", at positions 28 to 507 of the family's 1533-position model. The record is from RNAcentral.